UACAGAGGGUGCGAGCGUUGUUCGGAAUUAUUGGGCGUAAAGGGCUCGUAGGCGGUCUGUCACGUCGGGAGUGAAAACACGGGGCUUAACCCCGUGCCUGCUUCCGAUACGGGCAGACUAGAGGUAUGCAGGGGAGAACGGAAUUCCUGGUGUAGCGGUGAAAUGCGUAGAUAUUGGGAGGAACACCAGAUGCGAAGGCGGGUCACUGGGCUGAUACUGACGCUGAAGUGCGAAAGCCAGGGGAGCGAACGGG
Molecule: ribosomal RNA, 253 nt
Filed under: uncultured bacterium
Lineage: Bacteria
Description: partial 16S ribosomal RNA
Rfam family: Bacterial small subunit ribosomal RNA
Source: RNAcentral